AUUUCUCUUUUUAUUUUAGUAUCUUGGUUUAACCAUCACUCUUUCAAUCUUAAGAAGGUCUUGCAGAAUUUUAUAGUCCCAGAUAUCAUUAUCAUUUGUAGCAUAUGAAUUAAGGAUUUGCAUUCACUC
Long non-coding RNA from Octopus sinensis (East Asian common octopus), 129 nucleotides. RefSeq lists it as uncharacterized. The transcript is spliced from 3 exons. The record is from RefSeq and is a predicted model, not a curated record. Lineage: Eukaryota; Metazoa; Mollusca; Cephalopoda; Octopoda; Octopodidae.